RNAcentral lists this ribosomal RNA (369 nucleotides) under uncultured phototrophic eukaryote. Its description in RNAcentral is "SSU rRNA". It matches the Rfam family "Bacterial small subunit ribosomal RNA", at positions 524 to 896 of the family's 1533-position model. The record is from RNAcentral.
GACGGAGGAUGCAAGUGUUAUCCGGAAUUAUUGGGCGUAAAGCGUCUGCAGGUUGUUUUAUAAGUCUAUUGUUAAAGGUCGAAGCUUAACUUCGAAAAUGCGGUAGAAACUGUUUAACUAGAGUAUGGUCGAAGUAGAAGGAAUUUCCAGUGGAGUGGUGAAAUGCGUAGAUAUUGGAAAGAACACCGAUGGCGAAAGCAUUCUAUUAGGGCAUUACUGACACUCAGAGACGAAAGCUAGGGUAGCAAAUGGGAUUAGAUACCCCAGUAGUCUUAGCUGUAAACGAUGGAUACUAAAUAUUACACGUUCGCCGUGGUGUUAAAGCUAACGCGUUAAGUAUCCCGCCUGGGGAGUACGCUCGCAAGGGUU